This 500-nucleotide ribosomal RNA is filed under the name uncultured bacterium. Its description in RNAcentral is "partial 16S ribosomal RNA". It matches the Rfam family "Bacterial small subunit ribosomal RNA", at positions 28 to 523 of the family's 1533-position model. The record is from RNAcentral.
GAUGAACGCUAGCGGCAGGCUUAAUACAUGCAAGUCGUGGGGCAGCAUGAGUAGCAAUACUUGAUGGCGACCGGCAAACGGGUGCGGAACACGUACACAACCUUCCGAUAAGUGGGGAAUAGCCCAGAGAAAUUUGGAUUAAUACCCCGUAACAUAUAGAGUAGGCAUCUUCUUUAUAUUAUAGCUUCGGCGCUUAUUGAUGGGUGUGCGUCUGAUUAGGUAGUUGGCGGGGUGACGGCCCACCAAGCCUACGAUCAGUAGCUGAUGUGAGAGCAUGAUCAGCCACACGGGCACUGAGACACGGGCCCGACUCCUACGGGAGGCAGCAGUAAGGAAUAUUGGACAAUGGGCGAAAGCCUGAUCCAGCCAUGCCGCGUGAAGGAUUAAGGUCCUCUGGAUUGUGAACUUCUUUUAUUUGGGACGAAAAAAGGGAAUUCUUUCCCACUUGACGGUACCAAGUGAAUAAGCACCGGCUAACUCCGUGCCAGCCGCCGCAGUAA